Molecule: long non-coding RNA, 386 nt
Filed under: Pongo abelii (Sumatran orangutan)
Lineage: Eukaryota; Metazoa; Chordata; Mammalia; Primates; Hominidae
Description: lincRNA
Source: RNAcentral
GGUAGGCAUUGAGGCAGCCAGCGCAGGGGUUGCUGCUGAGAGGGCGGGCGCAGCUUGAGGAAACCGCAGAUAAGUUUUUUUCUCUUUGAAAGAGAGAGUAAUACAACUGCUUAAGAAAUAUAGUCAAUAGGUUACUAAGAUAUUGCUUAGCGUUAAGUUCUUAACGUAAUUUUAAUAACUUAAGAUUUUAAGAGAAAAUAUGAAGACUUAAAGAGUAGCAUGAGGAAGGAAAAGAUAAAAAGGUUUCUAAAACAUGACGGAGGUUGAGAUGAAGCUUCUUCAUGGAGUAAAAAAAUGCGAAGAAAAGAAUAGAGAAGAUAGGGAAAUUAGAAGAUAAAAACAUACUUUUAGAAGAAAAAUAAGUUUAAACCUGAAAGGAAGCAGAA